GCGAGUCUAUGUAGUAAUACAAGGCAUACGGCUCAGUAACGCGUAGUCAACCUACCCUAUGGACAAGAAUAAUCUCGGGAAACUGAGCAUAAUUCUUGAUAGAUCAUAAUGCCUGGAAUGGUUUAUGGUUAAAAUGAUUCGUCGCCAUAGGAUGGGACUGCGGCCUAUCAGCUUGUUGGUGAGGUAAUGGCCCACCAAGGCGAUAACAGGUACGGGCUCUGAGAGGAGAAGCCCGGAGAUGGGUACUGAGACAAGGACCCAGGCCCUAUGGGGCGCAGCAGGCGAGAAAACUUUGCAAUGUGCGAAAGCACGACAAGGUUAGUCCGAGUGAUUUCUGCUAAAGAGAUCUUUUGCUAGUUAUAAAACCACUAGUGAAUAAGGGGUGGGCAAGCUCUGGUGUCAGCCGCCGCGGUAAAACCAGCACCUCAAGUGGUCAGGAUGAUUGUUGGGCCUAAAGCAUCCGUAGCCGGCUCUGUAAGUUUUCGGUUAAAGCUAUGCGCUCAACGUAUGGGCUGCCGAAAAUACUGCAGAGAUAGGGAGUGGGAGGGGUAGACGGUACUCGGUAGGAAGGGGUAAAAUCCUUUGAUCUAUC
This 592-nucleotide ribosomal RNA is filed under the name uncultured archaeon. Its description in RNAcentral is "bacterial SSU rRNA". It matches the Rfam family "Archaeal small subunit ribosomal RNA", at positions 53 to 651 of the family's 1478-position model. The record is from RNAcentral.